AGUGAACGCUGGCGGUAGGCCUAACACAUGCAAGUCGAACGGCAGCACAGUAAGAGCUUGCUCUUACGGGUGGCGAGUGGCGGACGGGUGAGGAAUACAUCGGAAUCUACUUUUUCGUGGGGGAUAACGUAGGGAAACUUACGCUAAUACCGCAUACGACCUACGGGUGAAAGCAGGGGAUCUUCGGACCUUGCGCGAGUGAAUGAGCCGAUGUCGGAUUAGCUAGUUGGCGGGGUAAAGGCCCACCAAGGCGACGAUCCGUAGCUGGUCUGAGAGGAUGAUCAGCCACACUGGAACUGAGACACGGUCCAGACUCCUACGGGAGGCAGCAGUGGGGAAUAUUGGACAAUGGGCGAAAGCCUGAUCCAGCCAUACCGCGUGGGUGAAGAAGGCCUUCGGGUUGUAAAGCACUUUUGUUGGGAAAGAAAAGCAGCAGGUUAAUACCCCGCUGUUCUGACGGUACCCAAAGAAUAAGCACCGGCUAACUUCGUG
This 492-nucleotide ribosomal RNA is filed under the name uncultured bacterium. RNAcentral describes it as "partial 16S ribosomal RNA". It matches the Rfam family "Bacterial small subunit ribosomal RNA", at positions 29 to 507 of the family's 1533-position model. The record is from RNAcentral.